AUGUCUGACGCCGAUGAGAAUCGAGUCAACGGCGAGGAUCUGAUCGAGUCUGCAGACACUGAAAGAUCCAGGCUGCUGCUGGAAAAAGCUGAAGCGGAGACUGAAAAGAGAAAAGCCGAGGCAGAGCUUCAGAGCUUCAUGGAUGACGAAGACAAGAUUUUUGACAAGUUUAAUAAAGAUCUCGUAGAAGUGCAGGUGAAGUCCGAGGCGUG
Cyprinus carpio (common carp) is the source of this 212-nucleotide long non-coding RNA. The record is from Ensembl. NCBI's taxonomy places the organism in Eukaryota, Metazoa, Chordata, Actinopteri, Cypriniformes, Cyprinidae.